RNAcentral lists this transfer RNA (77 nucleotides) under Isoptericola cucumis. RNAcentral describes it as "tRNA-Pro(tgg)". It matches the Rfam family "tRNA". From Rfam's summary of the family: Transfer RNA (tRNA) molecules are approximately 80 nucleotides in length. Their secondary structure includes four short double-helical elements and three loops (D, anti-codon, and T loops). The record is from RNAcentral. RNAcentral also lists the same sequence under 3 other names. Lineage: Bacteria; Bacillati; Actinomycetota; Actinomycetes; Micrococcales; Promicromonosporaceae.
CGGGGUGUGGCGCAGCUUGGUAGCGCAUCUGCUUUGGGAGCAGAGGGUCGCAGGUUCGAAUCCUGUCACCCCGACCA